RNAcentral lists this microRNA precursor (74 nucleotides) under Myotis lucifugus (little brown bat). RNAcentral describes it as "mir-9193 microRNA precursor family". It matches the Rfam family "mir-9193 microRNA precursor family". Lineage: Eukaryota; Metazoa; Chordata; Mammalia; Chiroptera; Vespertilionidae. The record is from Rfam by way of RNAcentral.
CAUGGGGUGGGGGUGUCCCUCAGCCUGGAUUGCAAGAGGGCGCAGGCCAGGCUGAGGGACCCAACCGGUACAGG